AGAAUCUUUCGCAAUGCCCGAAAGGGUGACGAAGCGACGCCGCGUGUGGGAAGAAGGCCUUCGGGUUGUAAACCACUGUCGGGAGUUAAGAAAUGUAAGGAUGUUAAUAGCGUCCUUACUUGACUAAGGCUCCGGAGGAAGCCACGGCUAAUUCUGUGCCAGCAGCCGCGGUAAUACAGAGGCGGCAAGCGUUGUUCGGAAUUAUUGGGCGUAAAGAGCACGUAGGCGGCCUUGAAAGUCAGUUGUGAAAGCCUUCUGCUUAACGGAAGAACAGCAUCUGAUACUACAGGGCUUGAGUGCGGGAGGGGAGAGUGGAACUUCUGGUGGAGCGGUGAAAUGCGUAGAUAUCAGAAGGAACGCCGGCGGCGAAAGCGGCUCUCUGGCUCGUAACUGACGCUGAGUGUGCGAAAGCUAGGGGAUCAAACGGGAUUAGAUACCCCGGUAGUCCUAGCCGUAAACGAUGGGCACUAAGUAGAGGGGUUUUGAUUAUCUCUCUGCCGGAGCUAACGCAUUAAGUGCCCCGCCUGGGAAGUACGGCCGCAAGGCUAAAACUCAAAAGAAUUGACGGGGGCUCGCACAAGCGGUGGAGCAUGUGGCUUAAUUCGAUGCAACGCGAAGAACCUUACCGGGGUUUGACAUGGUAGAAGUAGGAACCAGAAACGGUAACGAACGGUAUCCAGUCCGUAACUAUCACAGGUGUUGCAUGGCUG
This 710-nucleotide ribosomal RNA is filed under the name uncultured anaerobic ammonium-oxidizing bacterium. Its description in RNAcentral is "bacterial SSU rRNA". It matches the Rfam family "Bacterial small subunit ribosomal RNA", at positions 358 to 1051 of the family's 1533-position model. The record is from RNAcentral.